AUUCAUCUGAAGAGUCCCAAAUAGAACAAAACGCGCGUCCUAGAU
This 45-nucleotide non-coding RNA is filed under the name Schistosoma haematobium. Lineage: Eukaryota; Metazoa; Platyhelminthes; Trematoda; Strigeidida; Schistosomatidae. The record is from RNAcentral.